This 783-nucleotide ribosomal RNA is filed under the name uncultured Neocallimastigales. Its description in RNAcentral is "partial large subunit ribosomal RNA". It matches the Rfam family "Eukaryotic large subunit ribosomal RNA", at positions 23 to 635 of the family's 3401-position model. Lineage: Eukaryota; Fungi; Neocallimastigomycota; Neocallimastigomycetes; Neocallimastigales. The record is from RNAcentral.
AGAGAUGUGUGAUGACGCAUAUCAAUAAGCGGAGGAAAAGAAACUAACAAGGAUUCCCUUAGUAACGGCGAGUGAAGCGGGAAGAGCUCAAAUUUGAAAUCUUCAAGGUUCUACCUUGACGAAUUGUAGUUUAUAGAAGUGUUUUCUGUUAGUAGAGUGGCAAAAGUUCUUUGGAAUAGGACAUCAUAGAGGGUGAGAAUCCCGUAUUUGGUCAUUCUUUCUAGCUGUGUGAUACACUUUCAACGAGUCGGAUUGUUUGGGAAUGCAGUCCAAAAUGGGUGGUAAAUUUCAUCUAAAGCUAAAUAUUGGCGAGAGACCGAUAGCGAACAAGCUACCGUGAGGGAAAGAUGAAAAGAACUUUGAAAAGAGAGUUAAACAGUACGUGAAAUUGUCAAAAGGGAAGCGUUUGACACCAGUGUUGUUUUUCUCGAAAAUCAAUUAAACUAAUGUUUUGUUUUUGAUAGUUAUGACCUUCAAUCGCUUGCUUCAUCUCUUUACUGUAACUUUCUUAAUGCACUUUUCGUUUAACAAGUCAACAUCAGUUUCUUUUGUUGUAAAAGGGUAUGAGGAAGGUGGCUUUCUUUUCGGAGAAAGUGUUUAUAGCCUUGUACCUCUGCAAUCGGAGAGAUUGAGGUCUGCAGCGUAGAUCCUUCUGGGAUUAGAUACAUUUGUGCUAAGUUAUAGCUUUUCAUAGACAACAUUGUUGACUAUGUUAGUCUUGUAAGCUUACUCGCUUAUGCUAAUUUUACCUACGCUUAGGAUGUUGACAGCAGUAUAGACUGU